UUUUCUAAGAGACAGCCGCUAAACUACAGUAUUGUACACAGUAUUGGGAAACUGGCUGGCUAGCAUCCCAAGAAAAGCAAAGUGUUGAUGCUUAAAAGACGUACAGUUUGGAGAAAGGACAGCGACGCAGAGUUUGUUUUGUUUCUCUUUAUGUGCUGGAAAGGUCCAACGGUAUAAAGGUUUUACUAAGACUGAUAAGUUUGAGGGUAUCUGGUGGCCUCUCCUGGUGUUUGUUACUUGAUCGGGAGAGCACAGUCAACCUCUUACUCUCACAGCUCAAUUUUUGGAGACAGUUUAGGAUGCAACUUUAUGCCAGGGUGGCGAACCUCAGUCUCAGGGGCCGAUCCUCUCUGUUUGGCUCUCAUGGCUCUUCCCUGACCAUCCCUGCUCUGCUCACACCCUUCAUGUACCCCAAAUAUUUUUGCCUGACUGGAAUUUGCAUUUGACCUCUGAAGAGUAGAGAAGCCCAUGUGAGUGUGUGGAGAAACUAGGCUGCUGAAACAAAGGUAAAAUGUGUGUUUAUUGCUCUGCCUACUUUUACCUCUGAGAUGUGGUCCCAGGAAGGAUGAGAAGAAGACGACCUCCAGGCUAGCAGAUCGGGAUAGAUGCUCAUUGUCAUCGGGCAAAUAAGAACAAAUGCUCAAUGAGGAGUGGAUGCUGUAAGCUUUGUACAAGCAGGUACCAGGAUGAUAAUUCCAUCAGCAGGUUGUCUGGGUGAGACGCAGGUGCCCAUACCAAACAAGAAAAAUAUCCUCUUUGCAUGAUGAUACCUCUUUCAUGCCCUACCUAAAAUAGCCGCUCACCCAGUACCGGUGGUGGGCCACGUUUGCAGCCCAGCGUGCGACUUCCCUGUCUUCCCAAAGCCACGCUGCUUUGGUCGGCCAUCGCUCCACUCCCACGGCUGUCACAGAGCCUGCCAGGAUCCCGCCAAACCCAGAUUCAAAUUUGGCCUAUCCAUGGCAGCCAGGGGGGCAGGGCAACUAAAGCACACCGAGUUGUUGCAGGCUCCACUCCGGUCCGCUCAUGACAAAUAACGAGGGAUGCGCUAGAGUGCCCUCAUGCUGAAAUUGCAAUAGGCAGGCACUUCGCACGGUCCCCAGGAUGCUCAUUCAUCUGGGCAAGAAUGAUCUGGUUGCACAAAAGAGCAUCAAUUUAAUCAUGGCAGCAAUCGUGGACAUUGAAAGAAUCCAGGCAAUGUGCCCAGACAACACCAUCUUUUGGUCUGAGCCCCUUUGCCCCUGCGAUGGAGAGGGGCCUUCAAGCCUUCUCACCUCAAUUACACCUUCAUAAAAACCAACAGGGCUUUACGCAAUGCGGCCCUGUGUCUUGGUGGCCGAGGGAUCAGACGUCCGGACCUUAAAACUACAAGUUGGACCUUUUCAGACCUGGCGGAGUACACCUCACUGCUAUCGGGAACGAACAUUGAUUGGGAGCUAUGAAGCAGGAAUGGUUUCAAUUGUAGGUGGUCUUUGCAGUGAGAUUGCGAUUUUGCAGUCUCGAGUGGCGGGUUUUAGGCCUUGGGCGGAAUCCUUUAGUCUGAUAACUGAUGAAGGGCUGAAGUAGUGACUCACCCCUUCCGUGAUGGCGAUAACACAGUACCCUGUUAGAAGGGUCUUGAGGGGAGUCUCUUCCACAAGCGCACAACAGGUGGGCCAUAGAACUCCCCCCUGCAUCGCGUCUGCGUAAACACGUUUUGCUGUGGUUCCAUAUUCGCAUUUGACCCUGCCAUGCCUCAGACCCCCAGCAGGGGGCUGAGAGGGAUACAUGCCUGGUGCUAUGCCAAGGUUUCCUAUGUCUGAAAUUUAAAUAAAGUUGUAAAGUUGUAGCCAAUUUAUGUUCUCAUGUCUUCUCCUUUGAUAUCAGGUCCAGCUUCUGGGGAAAGGGGGGGGGAGAGUAUGUGGCUGGGCAUGCAAAGAAAUGCUUGUCCAUGCUUAAUACCUCCACUCAAAUGAUAUCCUUAAGUACAAUACCUGAAAGAGCGUCUCCACCCCCAUCGUUCUGCCCGGACACUGAGGUCCAGUGCUGAGGGUCUUCUGCUGGUUCCCUCACUGCGAGAAGCAAUGUUACAGGGAACCAGGCAGAGGUCCUUCUCGGUAGUGGCACCCGCCCUAUGGAACACCCUCCCACCAGAUGUCAAAGAGAAAAACAACUAGCAGACAUUUA
Long non-coding RNA from Zootoca vivipara (common lizard), 2163 nucleotides. RefSeq lists it as uncharacterized. NCBI's taxonomy places the organism in Eukaryota, Metazoa, Chordata, Lepidosauria, Squamata, Lacertidae. The record is from RefSeq and is a predicted model, not a curated record.